Molecule: long non-coding RNA, 599 nt
Organism: Columba livia (rock pigeon)
Lineage: Eukaryota; Metazoa; Chordata; Aves; Columbiformes; Columbidae
Exons: 2
Source: RefSeq, a predicted model, not a curated record
GUCCCUGGAGUCAUCUGGGGGGACACGAGCAGCACCACGGGUGGAAUGGGUCCCUGGAGGGUGGCGAUGGGGGGUUCUCCCAUCCCCCCCGUCUCCCUGGGGUGUUUUUCGGGACGGGCUGUCCCAGCGUGACCUCGUUCCGUGCGCGGGGAUGAUUAACCACUGCCGGCGCUGGCCCCGAGCCGGACAAUGUGUUUACCACAGACUGCGCCGAGCGGUGACCCCGGUGCCGCUUCGUUUGCCAAAUGAAUUCACCCUCAACAUGGGCUGUAAACAGGAGCCAGUGCUGAAACCUGAGUGCGCGCUCGCGCCGGUAACCGAAUAUUUCCUCUGCACGUGACUGGCCUGUCUCAGCAGUGAGCGCUGACGCCGCCGGGCCCGGCGCAGGCACACAGACCACAAACCACCCUGCGUCUCCAGCUCUGCCUCACAUCAGGCCAGAGGUGCCGGGGCGGCCCCACGGAGGAGUGCUGGGGGGGCCCUGCCACCCGGGUCACCCCCAGUCCCACAGGCUGCAGAUCAGAGCAGGGAACCACCUCUGCCCCGCUGCCCUGUGCAUUUCACUUCUGGAAUUUUUGCACAUAUUUCUAUUUUUUGCA